Molecule: small RNA, 3552 nt
Filed under: Pan troglodytes (chimpanzee)
Lineage: Eukaryota; Metazoa; Chordata; Mammalia; Primates; Hominidae
Description: retained intron
Source: RNAcentral
GGUGUGAGCCACCACGCCCGGCUGCAGAUGGUGUUUCUUUAUCAAGCCUACUUACAGAAGAUAGAUUUCACUGUUUGAAUUUUUAGUAACAAUUUCCCCUUUCCCCCACCUUUGUUCAUUAUUAUUACUAUUAUUAUUAUUAUUAUUACUUACUGCCUUACAUGAAGGGUAGUAGUGUGUAGUUAAAAGCUACCAUCAGACUCCCUGGGUUCAAAUCCUAAUCGGCAAGUUACUUACAGUGUUAGACAUCCCAUGUGAAAUGGGACGAAUCAGUAUGUAGCUUGCGAGGUGCUCAGGAAAUGGCAGCUGUUAUAGUGACACCACGCCCCUUUCUCUUAAGUGGAAACAAAUACCCCUUGUGAUGUUUUAGAGUCAGCUUUCAUCUCGUCCUACCUUUGUUCAGGCAAACUUCUCUAGUUCUGUUUUAAUAGGCAUAUUUGUUAGGUCUGUUUUUUGAAAUCUUCUUUUUUACAUUGUUUAAAGAUAAUGCCUUGGCUAAAAAGCCUGCUUCACUUUUCCCUGUUUUUAGUUGUUUUCUCCACAUUGGCAGUAAAGAGCCUUGGUGUCCCAGCAGCAGCAGUUCUCCUUUUCCUAUUGUGGAUGUUUUGCGUUUCAUACUGUUUUGAAGGGUGGCUUUGAUCAUACAUGUUGUUGGUAUAUUUGCCUUUUUGCUGGGGGUGUGCGAAGAACCAGAAAUGAGCAGAGGCACACCCAGUAGACUUCCCAGCCUGCAGAGCCUCCCAGGGAGAGCUUCCGUGUUCAGGUGCUUGGGGCCCCACCCUGGGAGCCUGACUCACAGUCAGAGCAGGGUCCCGGCUCGUGUUCAGGAUUUUGAAACAUUUGUAAGGUGAUUUUGUUGUUUCUACACCUUUCUCCUCACCUUUUUUUUUGUAGUUAAUCGUUACUAAUAAUAGAAAAGACAUUUUUGGCAUGGUAAUUGGCACAAAGUGAAUAAUUGUUGAAUAGAUGACUUUUGAGGCUUUCAAAAUUCGAGUGUCCACAAAAUCCAGAGCCACCUGGUUCCUUUUUUUGAACCACUUAACGUAAUUCUGGAAAACCUUGACUGUGGGUCUUAAGUUUGGGGGAUUGCUGCUUCUCACUGGCUGACCUUUGGAGGUCGCAUAUUUCAGGAUGUGACUCCACUUAGGCUCCAUUUCACCUGACACUGCAAUUCUGUGCCUUCAGAGGGAUUUGUUAUUGCGAAUGAUGUGGACAACAAGCGCUGCUACCUGCUCGUCCAUCAAGCCAAGAGGCUGAGCAGCCCCUGCAUCAUGGUGGUCAACCAUGAUGCCUCCAGCAUACCCAGGCUCCAGAUAGAUGUGGACGGCAGGAAAGAGAUCCUCUUCUAUGAUCGAAUUUUAUGUGAUGUCCCUUGCAGUGGAGACGGCACUAUGAGAAAAAACAUUGAUGUUUGGAAAAAGUGGACCACCUUAAAUAGCUUGCAGCUACAUGGCUUACAGCUGCGGAUUGCAACACGCGGGGCUGAACAGCUGGCUGAAGGUGGAAGGAUGGUGUAUUCCACGUGUUCACUAAACCCUAUUGAGGAUGAAGCAGUCAUAGCAUCUUUACUGGAAAAAAGUGAAGGUGCUUUGGAGCUUGCUGAUGUGUCUAAUGAACUGCCAGGGCUGAAGUGGAUGCCUGGAAUCACACAGUGGAAGGUAAUGACGAAAGAUGGGCAGUGGUUUACAGACUGGGACGCUGUUCCUCACAGCAGACACACCCAGAUCCGACCCACCAUGUUCCCUCCGAAGGACCCAGAAAAGCUGCAGGCCAUGCACCUGGAGCGAUGCCUUAGGAUAUUACCCCAUCAUCAGAAUACUGGAGGGUUUUUUGUGGCAGUAUUGGUGAAAAAAUCUUCAAUGCCGUGGAAUAAACGUCAGCCAAAGCUUCAGGGGAAAUCUGCAGAGACCAGAGAAAGCACACAGCUGAGCCCUGCAGAUCCCACAGAAGCGAAACCCACAGAUCCCUCUAAGCUGGAAAGUCCGUCAUUCACAGGAACUGGUGACACAGAAAUAGCUCAUGCAACUGAGGAUUUAGAGAAUAAUGGCAGUAAGAAAGAUGGCGUGUGUGGUCCUCCUCCAUCAAAGAAAAUGAAGUUAUUUGGAUUUAAAGAAGACCCAUUUGUAUUUAUUCCUGAAGAUGACCCAUUAUUUCCACCUAUUGAGAAAUUUUAUGCUUUGGAUCCUUCAUUCCCAAGGAUGAAUUUGUUAACUCGGACUACAGAAGGGAAGAAAAGGCAGCUCUACAUGGUUUCUAAGGAGUUGCGGAAUGUGCUGCUGAAUAACAGCGAGAAGAUGAAGGUUAUUAACACGGGGAUCAAAGUCUGGUGUAGAAAUAACAGCGGUGAAGAGUUUGACUGUGCUUUCCGGCUGGCACAGGAGGGAAUAUAUACAUUGUAUCCAUUUAUAAACUCAAGAAUUAUUACUGUAUCAAUGGAAGAUGUUAAGAUUCUGUUGACCCAGGAAAAUCCCUUUUUUAGAAAACUCAGCAGUGAGACCUACAGUCAAGCCAAGGACCUGGCAAAGGGAAGCAUCGUGCUGAAGUAUGAACCAGAUUCUGCGAAUCCAGACGCUCUGCAGUGUCCCAUCGUCUUAUGCGGAUGGCGGGGAAAGGCCUCCAUUCGAACUUUUGUGCCCAAGAAUGAACGGCUUCAUUAUCUCAGGAUGAUGGGGCUGGAGGUAUUGGGAGAAAAGAAGAAGGAAGGGGUUAUCCUCACAAAUGAGAGUGCAGCCAGCACCGGACAGCCAGACAAUGAGGUGACUGAGGGACAGAGAGCAGGAGAGCCCAACAGCCCGGACGCAGAAGAGGCCAACAGUCCAGACGUGACAGCAGGCUGUGACCCGGCGGGGGUCCACCCACCCCGGUGAGCAGGCCCAAGGCAGCGGGGGCCCACACCCCUCACACGCAAAACUGGCUUCUUCUGGUCACUGGUGUCUGAAACCAAAUCCAGAGCAGCCUGUGGCCUGUAAAGCAUAUAUUUCUAACGACUGCAGACUGGUGGGAUCAUAGGAGCCUUCUGAAUGACCAGGACUGCUUUCUUUGGAGCUGAUGAAAACGUACUCUUUUAGCGUGUUAGAAAUCACUCGUUUUAUUUUGUUUCUUUGGCCAAGCUAGGUCUAGUGUUUCUUUUGCUGGGAAUAGACUUUCAAAAGUUGUACUUCUAUCAAGAAACAAAACUGCCCUUGCAGAAAUUUCAGGUCUUUUGUUAAGCCUGUAUUGGUCUUAAGGUCCAGUAUUUUUUAAAUUAUUAUUUAUAGAAAGAAUCUAUAAAUUCUUGGGGAAGUGUGUUAUAAGCUUUAAUAAUUACAUUGAGUUGCACCUCAGUGGUGUGACAUUAACAUGCAGUGGGGUUAAUAUCUGAGGCCUCAGAUGACUUUGUGCCUUUUGGAAUAAAGGGUAAAAUAAACUCUCCCAGAGUAAGAGCUGUAUCGUGAAUUGUCAUACUAAUUAUUGAGGGGGACUUAUGUGCUUUUAUUGAAUGGAGUGCUUUACAAUUUUUAUUUUUAAAUGGGGUUGGGAUCCUUGGAAUAUUUCAAUAAAAUUGAUAAAAUA